RNAcentral lists this transfer RNA (80 nucleotides) under Brassica napus (rape). RNAcentral describes it as "tRNA-Leu (TAG) (tRNA-Leu-TAG-13-1)". It matches the Rfam family "tRNA". Rfam says of the family: Transfer RNA (tRNA) molecules are approximately 80 nucleotides in length. Their secondary structure includes four short double-helical elements and three loops (D, anti-codon, and T loops). Further hydrogen bonds mediate the characteristic L-shaped molecular structure. tRNAs have two regions of fundamental functional importance: the anti-codon, which is responsible for specific mRNA codon recognition, and the 3' end, to which the tRNAs corresponding amino acid is attached (by aminoacyl-tRNA synthetases). tRNAs cope with the degeneracy of the genetic code in two manners: having more than one tRNA (with a specific anti-codon) for a particular amino acid; and 'wobble' base-pairing, i.e. permitting non-standard base-pairing at the 3rd anti-codon position. The record is from RNAcentral. Lineage: Eukaryota; Viridiplantae; Streptophyta; Magnoliopsida; Brassicales; Brassicaceae.
GACAGUUUGGCCGAGUGGUCUAAGGCGCCAGAUUUAGGUUUUGGUCCGAAAGGGCGUGGGUUCAAAUACCACAGCUGUCA